GAGCGGAUCGCACUGGUCUUAGCACCGGCGACAUAUCCUUCAAGUGUCUGCCUUAUCAACUUUCGAUGGUAGUUUAUAUGCCUACCCUGGUUGUAACGGGUAACGGAAAAUCAGGGUUUGAUUCCGGAGAGGGCGCCUGAGAAAUGGCGACCACUUCUAAGGAAGGCAGCACGCGUGUAACUUACCCACUCUCAGAUCGAGGAGGUAGUGACGAAAAAUAUCGAGCUGGCGGUUUCAUACUGCCAGCAUCGGAAUGAGAACAAUGUCAACGUGUUAUCGAGUAACUAGCAGAGGGCAAGUCUGGUGCCAGCAGCCGCGGUAAUUCCAGCUCUGCAAGUGUAUGUCAAUGUUGCUGCGGUUAAAAAGCUCGUAGUUGGAUCUGUGUGAUUUGGUCCGGU
Molecule: ribosomal RNA, 398 nt
Filed under: Nematoda sp. YAMAG2018
Lineage: Eukaryota; Metazoa; Nematoda
Description: SSU rRNA
Rfam family: Eukaryotic small subunit ribosomal RNA
Source: RNAcentral